UACGUAGGGUGCGAGCGUUAAUCGGAAUUACUGGGCGUAAAGCGUGCGCAGGCGGGCUUUUAAGCCAGACGUGAAAUCCCCGGGCUUAACCUGGGAAUGGCGUUUGGGACUGGAAGUCUGGAGUGCGGCAGAGGAGACUGGAAUUCCUGGUGUAGCAGUGAAAUGCGUAGAUAUCAGGAGGAACACCGAUGGCGAAGGCAGGUCUCUGGGCUGACACUGACGCUCAUGCACGAAAGCGUGAGGAGCAAACAGG
This 253-nucleotide ribosomal RNA is filed under the name uncultured bacterium. Its description in RNAcentral is "partial 16S ribosomal RNA". It matches the Rfam family "Bacterial small subunit ribosomal RNA", at positions 524 to 776 of the family's 1533-position model. The record is from RNAcentral.